UACGGAGGGGACUAGCGUUGUUCGGAAUUACUGGGCGUAAAGCGUGCGCAGGCGGUUUUGUAAGCCAGAUGUGAAAUCCCCGGGCUUAACCUGGGAAUGGCAUUUGGGACUGCAAGGCUGGAGUUUGGCAGAGGAGACUGGAAUUCCUGGUGUAGCAGUGAAAUGCGUAGAUAUCAGGAGGAAUACCGAUGGCGAAGGCAGGUCUCUGGGCUGAAACUGACGCUCAUGCACGAAAGCGUGGGGAGCAAACAGG
This 253-nucleotide ribosomal RNA is filed under the name uncultured bacterium. RNAcentral describes it as "partial 16S ribosomal RNA". It matches the Rfam family "Bacterial small subunit ribosomal RNA", at positions 524 to 776 of the family's 1533-position model. The record is from RNAcentral.